RNAcentral lists this long non-coding RNA (217 nucleotides) under Vigna radiata. RNAcentral's name for it is "long non-coding RNA (VRAD_LNC003561)". The record is from RNAcentral. Lineage: Eukaryota; Viridiplantae; Streptophyta; Magnoliopsida; Fabales; Fabaceae.
AAGUUUUAUAAGUCUAUUUUUCUACGUAAUUAUAAACAUCUGCAAUAUAGUUAUUAAGUAAUGUAUUUUUUGUUAUAUUUUCAACUAUAAAACUUUUCUAUUUCUAAGUGAAAGUAACUUUUAUAUUGUUUUUCUUUUAUAAAAAAAUUAUUAUACUAUACUUUUUGUAUAAUAUAAGUUUUAAUUAAUUUUUUAGUAUCACGCAUUUUUAACGAAG